RNAcentral lists this long non-coding RNA (868 nucleotides) under Numida meleagris (helmeted guineafowl). RNAcentral describes it as "lncRNA (ENSNMEG00000001219.1)". Lineage: Eukaryota; Metazoa; Chordata; Aves; Galliformes; Numididae. The record is from RNAcentral.
UGAUUUAGUGGUGGGUUGUUAGAGUUAGAGCAGUAUGGUUAGGUUGUGGUUGGACUUGAUGAUCUUGAAGGUCCUUUCCAACUUGAGCAAUUCUAUGAUUCUACGAUUCUAUUAAACCCUUGGACAUGGGCAGUGGGGGUUGCUGACAGCACAGCUCAGCUCUUGUAGUGCAGUCCUUGGUGAGGAAUGCGGCCGUACCCCUCACCUUACUGACUCACUUGCUACCAUCAUUUGAGGAACAUCGAAAAAUAUUCUUCUAAAAUGAUGUGUGAAAAGGCUUGAGGAAGUCCAUCUGGCACUUGUAUCAAAUGGGGCAACCUGAUUGUGUUCUGCUCACUUUUCUUUGGGGAGUGGCAGAGAGACAGCUUCCUCCCCCUACCCCCCAAAGGCAGUUCUAACUCUGCAGCCCUGUCUGAGUGGCUGCCCACAGGGCUCUGAUGGUGCAUUUCAUAGAACUGCUUGUGUUGGAAGGGACCUUAAAGACCUUUACUCCAGCAGGUCCACUCCAAAGCCUUAAAGCUCCUGUAAAAGAAGGAAGACCCAGGAGUAACUCACCAAACACGGCCGACAAGCACCAGCAGCCUUUAAGCGCAAUUAUCGCCGCAGCGCCUCACAUGGCGCUCAGCUGAGGCAAGGCUCAAGGCGGGAGACCCUUCCCUUCAGGAUGUUUCCCUGCGCGGCGGUGCUUCUGACGGUCGCCGGUGCGUGCGGGGCUGAGUGUGAGGCGGUGCUUUCGCGCUUCCCGCCCAGCCGGCGGCACGGGUCGGAGCUUGCUCUCAGGUGUUGGAUAUGUACCCUGCCUCAAAAGAUCUUUAGUGCUCUUCCAGUUCUGAUGGAUGUCAUCGUUUCUACCUGCGUUACUUAUGAA